Molecule: ribosomal RNA, 253 nt
Filed under: uncultured bacterium
Lineage: Bacteria
Description: partial 16S ribosomal RNA
Rfam family: Bacterial small subunit ribosomal RNA
Source: RNAcentral
GACGUAGGGCGCGAGCGUUGUCCGGAUUUACUGGGCGUAAAGAGCGCGCAGGCGGUCGUACAAGUCGCGUGUGAAAGCCCCCGGCUUAACUGGGGAGGGUCACGCGAUACUGUUCGACUCGAAGGCAGGAGAGGGAAGCGGAAUUCCCGGUGUAGUGGUGAAAUGCGUAGAUAUCGGGAGGAACACCAGUGGCGAAGGCGGCUUCCUGGCCUGUUCUUGACGCUGAGGCGCGAAAGCGUGGGGAGCGAACAGG